UCAUUUGCAGUCCAUCCAUUACCUAUGUACGUAAUUUCUUCAUGGGUUUUUAUUUUACUAAAAUAAAGAAACUGCUUUUAACAGAAACUUCUUGCUCAAGUCAUUUGAUAACAACUUUUUUCCUCGGAAAUUUCGACACUCCACAAACUUUUUCAGAGAUUUGUGUAAGCAAGCUGCUUGAAACAUUUGCUGGACCGGAAUGGACUUUAUGGUUGGCAUAAAACUGCUACACAUUACGAAGUGCACCCGAAACUAGAAAAUCUGUGGAGCUGUCCGUAACUUUGACAUAAACAAGGAUGGAAGUUAUUUUUAUUAUAAUUUGGUUUAGCAUAUAUGAAUACAUAGUAUAGCAUAGCUGUGCACUUCUAAUUUCAUUGCUAAUGUAUUUUGUACGGGUGUUGUCAUCAAGCUAGGCUUUUAUCUUGCAUUUGGGUUGCAAUCCUAUUUUUGUUGUAAGCAAACUAUAAAUUUUAAGCUUAAUUGAAGCAUAUCUUUAUUCAAUGAAUUAUAUAGUCUAUUUUAUAUUGUUUUGACGGCUAACUUAAUCUUGCGCUUGGAAUAAUUUCCUGGCGCAUUGUCUCACAAAGUGGCAAUGUGCGCAAUUUUUAAAACUGAUGCUUUAAUUGCGCAUUGUGAAACAUUUUACUUGGCCAAAAGCGCAUUAGUAUUUAAUAAUCUUGAUGAAAUAGAUGAAGCAUGGCUUUGGUAUAUAAGUGCACAUAUUUUUGAGUCAGAACAAUAUUCCGUGAGCUGUUUGUAAAGUUACCUGUCUCUGUAUUAAGAAAUGAGAAUUCACCAUUUGCUUUCAUUGUA
This is a long non-coding RNA of Xenia sp. Carnegie-2017, 813 nucleotides long. RefSeq lists it as uncharacterized. The record is from RefSeq and is a predicted model, not a curated record. The transcript is spliced from 2 exons. NCBI's taxonomy places the organism in Eukaryota, Metazoa, Cnidaria, Anthozoa, Malacalcyonacea, Xeniidae.